This 1365-nucleotide ribosomal RNA is filed under the name Triticum aestivum (bread wheat). RNAcentral describes it as "partial small subunit ribosomal RNA". Lineage: Eukaryota; Viridiplantae; Streptophyta; Magnoliopsida; Poales; Poaceae. The record is from RNAcentral.
AUGGCCACCUCUCCCUCCACCGCCGCCGCUACGAGCUCUGCCACCUCCCCCGGCGAUCUCUCAUCCUCCUCGACGGCGCCUGCUGCGGCCUCCUCCACUGCUUCCUCCCCGCCGUUCGUCUUCGGCACAUCCCCCUCUCUCAUCAACGGCUCCUCCCCCGUUGCGGGCACCCAGUUUGCCCCCCUGUUCACCACCGCCGUUCCUCCUGCUCCUCCGUCGCCCGCUCCUCGCAACCCCAUCUUCCUGGAUCACAUCAAGUUCCUCCUCAACCCCGCCGACCACAAUUAUCACAAAUGGAAAACCUUCGUCCUCAUGGUUCUCGUCCGCUACGGCGUCUCCUACCUCGUCGAACACCCGCCGCCACCCAAUGCUUCCGCCACUUACCUCGAGCUCGAUGCCCACGUCGUUCUGUGGAUCUACGCCACCCUCUCGGACACCAUAGUUAUUGAUUUUGGGAGUAGCCUUGCUUUAUCUGUAUUUUCUGUAUGGAGCUAUGUGUUUGGUUUGGUUGGGGCGUGUGUUUACUCUGGGCAGUGCAUUUGUAAGUUAGAGUUUGGAGAACCGUGUCUUUUUCAAUUGGUGUUGGCGCUCGUUUUCCCGACGGUCUCCAUCCACACGAGGCCGGGCGCUGUCGCUGCCACUCUAGACCCCCGCCGCACCAGAGCUCUACCUUCUGUCGCCGUUCGGCCCGCUACCGCUCACCGCUGCACCACACCGGGUCCCUGCCUGUCUUCUGCAGUUGUGAUUCUUCCUUUUCCCUUUCGAUUCAGCAGCCUCCGUGUAGGGAUGCUCCUUCUCCCUGCAUUCUAUUUCUCUGUUCCCUUUGCUUGUGGGUUCGGUGUUUGGCAGAGUUCGGGGAUUCUCGGUGUUCGUCUGUGCGGCGGCCUUUAUUGCUUGGAGAGCUCCUGUCGCCCUACUCAUGUCCUCUUGGUGGAUAUUGAAAUUGUUUGCGCCCAAUUUGGUUUUCUCGGGUUGGAUUGUUUAUUUUCCAUUUUGCUGCUUAAUCUCCCAGUUCAAUCAAACUUUGGAUAUACUAAGCUGCCUAGAAAGGAGGGUUGUGAUGCGUCGGGGCUAGGUUACCACAUCGGCCCUGGCUGUCAGGAUCUGGACCACUACCUUGGGAGCGUGGAUCGGGAACUUCCUGGCCUGGGGAAACAGCCGAUAGAUCGAAGGCGGCAUCCUGGAGAAGGGCGCAACGUCCUGGUCCGGGGCAGGCAGCGCCCCGACGGCCGCGUGGCAGCGGCCUGGACGAAUGCCGACGGAGCUCCCUUAGCAGCAAAUGGCGGCGGCUACAGCAGGAUAUCCCCCCUCUACCGGACGAGUUCGAGUUCAGUCAGGCCCUCCAGAUCUUUGUCCCGGGGGUAA